This 468-nucleotide ribosomal RNA is filed under the name uncultured bacterium. Its description in RNAcentral is "partial 16S ribosomal RNA". It matches the Rfam family "Bacterial small subunit ribosomal RNA", at positions 28 to 507 of the family's 1533-position model. The record is from RNAcentral.
GACGAACGCUGGCGGCGUGCUUAACACAUGCAAGUCGAACGGAAAGGCCCUGCUUUUGUGGGGUGCUCGAGUGGCGAACGGGUGAGUAACACGUGAGUAACCUGCCCUUGACUUUGGGAUAACUUCAGGAAACUGGGGCUAAUACCGGAUAGGAGCUCCUGCUGCAUGGUGGGGGUUGGAAAGUUUCGGCGGUUGGGGAUGGACUCGCGGCUUAUCAGCUUGUUGGUGGGGUAGUGGCUUACCAAGGCUUUGACGGGUAGCCGGCCUGAGAGGGUGACCGGCCACAUUGGGACUGAGAUACGGCCCAGACUCCUACGGGAGGCAGCAGUGGGGAAUAUUGCACAAUGGGCUGAAGCCUGAUGCAGCAACGCCGCGUGCGGGAUGACGGCCUUCGGGUUGUAAACCGCUUUCGCCUGUGAUGAAGCGUGAGUGACGGUAAUGGGUAAAGAAGCACCGGCUAACUACGUG